Molecule: small nucleolar RNA, 107 nt
Organism: Lathyrus oleraceus (garden pea)
Lineage: Eukaryota; Viridiplantae; Streptophyta; Magnoliopsida; Fabales; Fabaceae
Source: RefSeq, a predicted model, not a curated record
AAGCCAUGGUUGGGACAUCUUCUCAACAUCGAUUUGUAUCGCUCCCAUGCUUCACAAAUUUUUUCACAUGAACCUUGAGAAAAUAUGACAAUUUUGGUUUUGACUUC